Molecule: transfer RNA, 56 nt
Filed under: Capra hircus (goat)
Lineage: Eukaryota; Metazoa; Chordata; Mammalia; Artiodactyla; Bovidae
Also listed under: 1 other name
Rfam family: tRNA
About the family: Transfer RNA (tRNA) molecules are approximately 80 nucleotides in length.
Source: Rfam by way of RNAcentral
AGCUCAGAUGGUAAAGCAUCUGCUUGCCAAGCAGGAGACCCAGGUUCAAUCCCUGA